GUGCCGCUGGCCACGACCACCUCGCCCUUGCUGCCGGUCGGGUUUGCCCCGGCGCCCUCCCCCAUGAUGAUGACUACCCCGUC
Molecule: non-coding RNA, 83 nt
Filed under: Oxyrrhis marina
Lineage: Eukaryota; Dinophyceae; Oxyrrhinales; Oxyrrhinaceae
Source: RNAcentral